GUUUCACACAUUUUUCCAGUGAAACUAAAAUUACUUGAUGAUUAAACCUCCAACCUUCAUAAUACUAAGAAGAGAAGAGAGGCUUCAUUUAAUUUAACAACAAUCUAUGAAAUCCCUCAGGAUCUUGUUCUCAUUUAUUUUAGAGAACAGGGUUUGAGAGGAAGGAGACAUAAACAGAAAUACAAAGGGAGGGCAGAAAUCUGUUCCCAUUUCUACGAAAUGCUGCUUUUUCUUUGCCUAGUCCCAGAAUGGCGAGGCCUGGUUUUUGUUAUUCCAGUCUAUGCUUUCUGAAUAAGAAAAGCUGUUGACUUAAACGACAAACACCUACCUUUCUUUCCUCCAGUUGCUUCCUGG
This 354-nucleotide long non-coding RNA is filed under the name Bos taurus (domestic cattle). Its description in RNAcentral is "long non-coding RNA NONBTAT023374". The record is from RNAcentral. Lineage: Eukaryota; Metazoa; Chordata; Mammalia; Artiodactyla; Bovidae.